ACGAACGCUGGCGGCGUGCUUCACCCAUGCAAGUCGUACGGUAAGGCCCUUUCGGGGGUCCACGAGUGGCGACCGGGUGAGUAACACGUGAGUAACCUGCCCACAACUUUGGGCUAACGCUAGGAAACUGGUGCUAAUACUGGAUAUGUGCUCCUUCUGCAUGGUGGGGGUUGGAAAGCUCCGGCGGUUGUGGAUGGACUCGCGGCCUAUCAGCUUGUUGGUGGGGUAGUGGCCUACCAAGGCGGCGACGGGUAGCCGGCCUGAGAGGGUGACCGGCCACAUUGGGACUGAGAUACGGCCCAGACUCCUACGGGAGGCAGCAGUGGGGAAUAUUGCACAAUGGGCGCAAGCCUGAUGCAGCAACGCCGCGUGCGGGAUGACGGCCUUCGGGUUGUAAACCGCUUUCAGCAGGGACGAAGCUUUUUGUGACGGUACCUGCAGAAGAAGCACCGGCUAACUACGUG
RNAcentral lists this ribosomal RNA (464 nucleotides) under uncultured bacterium. Its description in RNAcentral is "partial 16S ribosomal RNA". It matches the Rfam family "Bacterial small subunit ribosomal RNA", at positions 29 to 507 of the family's 1533-position model. The record is from RNAcentral.